RNAcentral lists this ribosomal RNA (472 nucleotides) under uncultured bacterium. RNAcentral's name for it is "partial 16S ribosomal RNA". It matches the Rfam family "Bacterial small subunit ribosomal RNA", at positions 28 to 507 of the family's 1533-position model. The record is from RNAcentral.
GACGAACGCUGGCGGCGUGCUUAACACAUGCAAGUCGAACGCUGAAGCUUGGUGCUUGCUCUGGGUGGGUGAGUGGCGAACGGGUGAGUAAUACGUGAGUAACCUGCCCUUGACUCUGGGAUAAGCCUGGGAAACUGGGUCUAAUACUGGAUACGACAUGUCACCGCAUGGUGGUGUGUGGAAAGGGUUUUACUGGUUUUGGAUGGGCUCACGGCCUAUCAGCUUGUUGGUGGGGUAAUGGCUCACCAAGGCGACGACGGGUAGCCGGCCUGAGAGGGUGACCGGCCACACUGGGACUGAGACACGGCCCAGACUCCUACGGGAGGCAGCAGUGGGGAAUAUUGCACAAUGGGCGAAAGCCUGAUGCAGCGACGCCGCGUGAGGGAUGACGGCCUUCGGGUUGUAAACCUCUUUCAGCACGGAAGAAGCGAAAGUGACGGUACGUGCAGAAGAAGCGCCGGCUAACUACGUG